This 445-nucleotide ribosomal RNA is filed under the name uncultured bacterium. RNAcentral's name for it is "bacterial SSU rRNA". It matches the Rfam family "Bacterial small subunit ribosomal RNA", at positions 330 to 792 of the family's 1533-position model. The record is from RNAcentral.
GCCAGACUCCUACGGGAGGCAGCAGUGAGGGAUAUUGGUCAAUGGGGGAAACCCUGAACCAGCAACGCCGCGUGAGGGAAGACGGUUUUCGGAUUGUAAACCUCUGUCCUCUGUGAAGAUAAUGACGGUAGCAGAGGAGGAAGCUCCGGCUAACUACGUGCCAGCAGCCGCGGUAAUACGUAGGGAGCAAGCGUUGUCCGGAUUUACUGGGUGUAAAGGGGGCGCAGACGGCAGCGCAAGCCAGGAGUGAAAGCCCGGGGCCCAACCCCGGGACUGCUCUUGGAACUGCGCGGCUGGAGUGCAGGAGGGGCAGGCGGAAUUCCUGGUGUAGCGGUGAAAUGCGUAGAUAUCGGGAGGAACACCAGUGGCGAAGGCGGCCUACUGGGCACUAACUGACGCUGAGGCUCGAAAGCAUGGGUAGCAAACAGGAUUAGAUCCCCGAGUA